This 291-nucleotide ribosomal RNA is filed under the name uncultured bacterium. Its description in RNAcentral is "partial 16S ribosomal RNA". It matches the Rfam family "Archaeal small subunit ribosomal RNA", at positions 455 to 746 of the family's 1478-position model. The record is from RNAcentral.
GUGCAGCAGCCGCGGUAAUACCGGCAGCACGAGUGAUGGCCGAUCUUAUUGGGCCUAAAGCGUCCGUAGCUGGCCGAACAAGUCCGUCGGGAAAUCCACGUGCUUAACACGUGGGCGACCGGCGGAAACUGUUCGGCUUGGGGCCGGAGGACCCGAGGGGUACGUCCGGGGUAGGAGUGAAAUCCUGUAAUCCUGGACGGACCGCCGGUGGCGAAAGCGCCUCGGGAAGACGGACCCGACAGUGAGGGUCGAAAGCUGGGAUCUCGAACCGGAUUAGAGACCCUGGUAGUC